RNAcentral lists this ribosomal RNA (606 nucleotides) under uncultured bacterium. RNAcentral's name for it is "bacterial SSU rRNA". The stretch from base 1 to 520 matches the Rfam family "Bacterial small subunit ribosomal RNA", at positions 338 to 873 of the family's 1533-position model. The record is from RNAcentral.
CCUACGGGAGGCAGCAGUGGGGAAUCUUGCGCAAUGGGCGAAAGCCUGACGCAGCAACGCCGCGUGCGGGAAGAAGGCUUUCGGGCUGUAAACCGCUUUCAGCAGGAACGAAAAUGACGGUACCUGCAGAAGAAGGAGCGGCCAACUAUGUGCCAGCAGCCGCGGUGAUACAUAGGCUUCAAGCGUUGUCCGGAUUUAUUGGGCGUAAAGAGUUCGUAGGCGGUCGAGUAAGUCGGGUGUGAAAAUUCUGGGCUCAACCCAGAGACGCCACCCGAUACUGCUUGACUUGAGUUCGAUAGGGGAGUGGGGAAUUCCUAGUGUAGCGGUGAAAUGCGCAGAUAUUAGGAGGAACACCGGUGGCGAAGGCGCCACUCUGGAUCGAUACUGACGCUGAGGAACGAAAGCAUGGGUAGCAAACAGGAUUAGAUACCCUGGUAGUCCAUGCCGUAAACGGUGGGCACUAGGUGUGGGUUUCUAUUAACGAAAUCCGCGCCGUCGCUAACGCAUUAAGUGCCCCGCCUGGGGAGGUACGGUCGCGAGACGAAACGUACGAAAGAAGUAAGUACGGCGUUGAGACGUUGCCGACGGCGACGACGAGGGAGGAGG